This 73-nucleotide transfer RNA is filed under the name Stegodyphus mimosarum. It matches the Rfam family "tRNA". From Rfam's summary of the family: Transfer RNA (tRNA) molecules are approximately 80 nucleotides in length. Their secondary structure includes four short double-helical elements and three loops (D, anti-codon, and T loops). The record is from Rfam by way of RNAcentral. Lineage: Eukaryota; Metazoa; Arthropoda; Arachnida; Araneae; Eresidae.
GCCUUCGUGGUGUAGUGGUCAGCACGCUCGGCGCGUAUUCGAGAGGUCCACGGUUCGAGUCCUGGCGAGGGCA